RNAcentral lists this ribosomal RNA (932 nucleotides) under uncultured bacterium. Its description in RNAcentral is "bacterial SSU rRNA". It matches the Rfam family "Bacterial small subunit ribosomal RNA", at positions 9 to 945 of the family's 1533-position model. The record is from RNAcentral.
GAGUUUGAUCAUGGCUCACGAUGAACGCUAGCGGCAGGCUUAACACACCAUUUAAGAGGGGUAGAAGCAGCUUGCUGCUUUGAGACCGGCCCUUUGGUGCGUAACGCGUAUACAAUCUACCUUUUACAGAGGGAUAGCCCAGAGAAAUUUGGAUUAAUACCUCAUAGUAUUUUCGAAUCGCAUGAUUUGAUUAUUAAAGUUCCAACGGUAAAAGAUGAGUAUGCGUCCCAUUAGCUAGAUGGUAAGGUAACGGCUUACCAUGGCAACGAUGGGUAGGGGUCCUGAGAGGGAGAUCCCCCACACUGGUACUGAGACACGGACCAGACUCCUACGGGAGGCAGCAGUGAGGAAUAUUGGACAAUGGGCGCAAGCCUGAUCCAGCCAUGCCGCGUGCAGGAAGACGGUCCUAUGGAUUGUAAACUGCUUUUAUACAGGAAGAAACACACCCUCGUGAGGGUACUUGACGGUACUGUAUGAAUAAGCAUCGGCUAACUCCGUGCCAGCAGCCGCGGUAAUACGGAGGAUGCAAGCGUUAUCCGGAAUCAUUGGGUUUAAAGGGUCCGUAGGCGGCCAAAUAAGUCAGUGGUGAAAGCCCAUCGCUCAACGAUGGAACGGCCAUUGAUACUGUUUGGCUUGAAUUAUUAGGAAGUAACUAGAAUAUGUAGUGUAGCGGUGAAAUGCUUAGAGAUUACAUGGAAUACCAAUUGCGAAGGCAGGUUACUACUAAUAUAUUGACGCUGAUGGACGAAAGCGUGGGGAGCGAACAGGAUUAGAUACCCUGGUAGUCCACGCCGUAAACGAUGGAUACUAGCUGUUCGGAGCAAUCUGAGUGGCUAAGCGAAAGUGAUAAGUAUCCCACCUGGGGAGUACGUUCGNCAGAAUGAAACUCAAAGGAAUUGACGGGGGCCCGCACAAGCGGUGGAGCAUGUGGU